RNAcentral lists this ribosomal RNA (1023 nucleotides) under Fructilactobacillus sanfranciscensis. Its description in RNAcentral is "bacterial SSU rRNA". It matches the Rfam family "Bacterial small subunit ribosomal RNA", at positions 56 to 1033 of the family's 1533-position model. Lineage: Bacteria; Bacillati; Bacillota; Bacilli; Lactobacillales; Lactobacillaceae. The record is from RNAcentral.
UGCAAGUCGAACGAAGUCGCCCAAUUGAUUCUUAGUGCUUGCACUAAGAUGAUUUUGGAUCCGACUGAGUGGCGAACUGGUGAGUAACACGUGGGUAACCUGCCCAGAAGAAGGGGAUAACACCUGGAAACAGAUGCUAAUACCGUAUAACAACAAGAACCACAUGGUUCUUGUUUGAAAGCUGGCCUUUGUGCUAGUGCUUCUGGAUGGACCCGCGGCGUAUUAGCUAGUUGGUGAGAUAAUAGCUCACCAAGGCAAUGAUACGUAGCAGACCUGAGAGGGUAAUCUGCCACAAUGGGACUGAGACACGGCCCAUACUCCUACGGGAGGCAGCAGUAGGGAAUCUUCCACAAUGGACGAAAGUCUGAUGGAGCAACGCCGCGUGAGUGAAGAAGGGUUUCGGCUCGUAAAACUCUGUUGUUAGAGAAGAACAGCCGUGAGAGCAACUGCUCACGGUAUGACGGUAUCUAACCAGAAAGUCACGGCUAACUACGUGCCAGCAGCCGCGGUAAUACGUAGGUGGCAAACGUUGUCCGGAUUUAUUGGGCGUAAAGGGAGCGCAGGCGGUUUAUUAAGUCUGAUGUGAAAGCCUUCGGCUUAACCGGAGAAGUGCAUCGGAAACUGAUAAACUUGAGUGCAGAAAAGGAUAGUGGAACUUCAUGUGUAGCGGUGAAAUGCGUAGAUAUAUGAAGGAACACCAGUGGCGAAGGCGGCUAUCUGGUCUGUAACUGACGCUGAGGCUCGAAAGCAUGGGUAGCAAACAGGAUUAGAUACCCUGGUAGUCCAUGCCGUAAACGAUGAAUGCUAGGUGUUGGAAGGUUUCCGCCUUUCAGUGCCGCAGCUAACGCAUUAAGCAUUCCGCCUGGGGAGUACGACCGCAAGGUUGAAACUCAAAGGAAUUGACGGGGACCCGCACAAGCGGUGGAGCAUGUGGUUUAAUUCGAUGCUACGCGAAGAACCUUACCAGGACUUGACAUCUUCUGCCAAUCUAAGANAUUAGACGUUCCCUUCGGGGACAGAAUG